This 533-nucleotide ribosomal RNA is filed under the name Sorex araneus (European shrew). Its description in RNAcentral is "partial 16S ribosomal RNA". It matches the Rfam family "Bacterial large subunit ribosomal RNA", at positions 1816 to 2580 of the family's 2925-position model. Lineage: Eukaryota; Metazoa; Chordata; Mammalia; Eulipotyphla; Soricidae. The record is from RNAcentral.
CACCUCUAGCAUUACUAGUAUUAGAGGCACUGCCUGCCCAGUGACAACUGUUUAACGGCCGCGGUAUCCUGACCGUGCAAAGGUAGCAUAAUCAUUUGUUCUUUAAAUAAGGACUUGUAUGAAUGGCCACACGAGGGUUUAACUGUCUCUUAUUUCUAAUCAGUGAAAUUGACCUUUCCGUGAAGAGGCGGAAAUAAUCUAAUAAGACGAGAAGACCCUAUGGAGCUUUAAUUGACCUAGUCCAACAGAAUAGUACUUAACUCCACCAAGGACUAACAAACAUUCUAACUGGGCUAUAAAUUUCGGUUGGGGUGACCUCGGAGCACAAAAUAACCUCCGAGAGCUAUCUACUAAGACUGACAAGUCAAAGUAAAUCUUUACAAAUUGAUCCAGUCCCACUGAUCAACGGAACAAGUUACCCUAGGGAUAACAGCGCAAUCCUAUUCUAGAGUCCCUAUCGACAAUAGGGUUUACGACCUCGAUGUUGGAUCAGGACAUCCCAAUGGUGCAGCAGCUAUUAAAGGUUCGUUUGU